Molecule: transfer RNA, 75 nt
Filed under: Mus musculus (house mouse)
Lineage: Eukaryota; Metazoa; Chordata; Mammalia; Rodentia; Muridae
Description: tRNA-Ser
Source: RNAcentral
GGCUGGAAAGAUGGCUUAGUGGUUAAGAGCACUGACUGCUCUUCCAGAGGUCCUGAGUUCAAUUCCCAGCAACCA